UACGUAGGGGGCAAGCGUUGUCCGGAUUUAUUGGGCGUAAAGAGCGUGUAGGCGGUUCGGUAGGUCCGUUGUGAAAACUCGAGGCUCAACCUCGAGACGCCGAUGGAAACCCCCGAACUAGAGUCCGGAAGAGGAGAAUGGAAUUCCUGGUGUAGCGGUGAAAUGCGCAGAUAUCAGGAAGAACACCCGUGGCUAAGGCGGCUCUCUAGUACGGUACUGACGCUGAGACGCGAAAGCCAGGGGAGCGAACGGG
This 253-nucleotide ribosomal RNA is filed under the name uncultured bacterium. RNAcentral describes it as "partial 16S ribosomal RNA". It matches the Rfam family "Bacterial small subunit ribosomal RNA", at positions 524 to 776 of the family's 1533-position model. The record is from RNAcentral.